This 937-nucleotide long non-coding RNA is filed under the name Homo sapiens (human). Its description in RNAcentral is "long non-coding RNA NONHSAT199771.1". The record is from RNAcentral. Lineage: Eukaryota; Metazoa; Chordata; Mammalia; Primates; Hominidae.
AGCAGUUCAGCUACUUGAAGAAACCAAAUGGUAUGUUGAGGCAAAUUAAAACCAGAGAGUCAGUUGGAGAAGCCCGAAGAGUAACCCAGGUGUCGAAAUACAGACACAUCAGGAGAAAACAAUGCCAGCCUCCUGCCAGGGAUCUAUCUUAACUAAGCAUCCAAUUAUCUUUUGGCUGCAAGACUACGUUCUGAUUCCCUAUACUUCAAACUUGGUUUCUUCUUCACCCUGGAUACUUGCAGAGCCGGGCACCACUCAUGUGAUAAUGCCAGGCUGGAUUCUCUAGAAGCAGAUGCUGGGAGGCUAUUUGGGGUACAAGGUGUUCCUUAGGAAUCAACAGCUGUGUUGGGAAGGAGAGGACACAGGAUCGCACAAAGGAAGACAUCAACAGUGCUGUAGAGAGCCCUCCAGAGGGUAGCAUUUGUCAGAGUGUUCUCCAUUGGGCUGAAACACCUGGGCAUUCAUGUUCUUCUCACUCAAUCACCAAGAAAGGAAUAUAGAGGGGGAAUCCCUGGGAAGAGAAGAGGGCACGGCGCUGAGAGCUCUCUCUUUCCUGCUACCAUGUGAAGAAGGACUUCGCUUCCCCUUCACCUUCCACCAUGACUGUAAGCUUCCUGAGGCAUCUCCAGCCAUGUGGAACGCACCUUCUAAUUAGGUUAUGGAUCCUUGAUCAAGUUGGGCUGGAGCAAGGGAAAGCCUUGAUCAUGCCAAAGAAGUCGCUGUGGCCCAAUGGACAACAUUUUUCUGCAUGAAUUAACAUAUCAGUGUCUGUGUUGUAGAAGAAUCUUGGUGGAAAAAUUCUACAGAUCUGAGACCUUUAACAACACCAUGUGAUGAUUAUUACUGCUUAUGGGCAGCAAAUGGGAUUAGCAGACUGUGAUAUUGGCAAAAGAAAGCUGAUAUUCUUCUUUCCCGAAGGUAUACUACAUCAAAGACG